Molecule: ribosomal RNA, 460 nt
Filed under: uncultured bacterium
Lineage: Bacteria
Description: partial 16S ribosomal RNA
Rfam family: Bacterial small subunit ribosomal RNA
Source: RNAcentral
CCUACGGGUGGCAGCAGUGAGGAAUAUUGGUCAAUGGUCGGGAGACUGAACCAGCCAAGUAGCGUGAAGGAGGACGGUACUAAGGGUUGUAAACUUCUUUUAUCAGGGAAUAAAGUGAGGCACGUGUGCCUGGUUGUAUGUACUUGAUGAAUAAGGAUCGGCUAACUCCGUGCCAGCAGCCGCGGUAAUACGGAGGAUCCGAGCGUUAUCCGGAUUUAGUGGGUUUAAAGGGCGCGGAGGCGGGUUGUUAAGUCAGGUGUGAAAGCCCGGGGCUCAACCCUCGAAGUGCAGUUGAUACUGGCAGUCGUGAGUUGGGUAGAGGUAGGCGGAAUGCGUGGUGUAGCGGUGAAAUGCGUAGAUAUCGCGAAGAACUCCGAUUGCGAAGGCAGCAUACCGAACCCACACUGACGCUGAUGCGCGAAAGUGUGGGUAUCAAACAGGAUUAGAUACCCGAGUAGUC